UCCCCGAUAGUCUAGUGGUGAGGAUAUCUGCUUGUCAUUACAACUCAGUGAUGUUCGCAGGGGACCGGGGUUCAAUUCCCCGUCGAGGAG
Molecule: non-coding RNA, 90 nt
Organism: Colletotrichum godetiae
Lineage: Eukaryota; Fungi; Ascomycota; Sordariomycetes; Glomerellales; Glomerellaceae
Source: the annotation of a RefSeq genome assembly